GCCGUUAUAUUGGACAAUGAUAGAAAUGGAAAUGAUCCACUCUGGGAAUCCAACCCAAAAUGGCCCUGGGCCCGGGUCACCCCUUACCUGUUGAGACGGAGCUCUAGGAUGCGGAUGCGAAACAUGACUUCCGAACAGUAAGAGAGUGUCAUAAAUGGAGACAACCAGGGUGUGAGCGGCCACCUCCUCCUCCCGGAGCUUGAGGAUAUCCAGAACCUUGAAGGAAA
Tachyglossus aculeatus (Australian echidna) is the source of this 227-nucleotide long non-coding RNA. RefSeq lists it as uncharacterized. Lineage: Eukaryota; Metazoa; Chordata; Mammalia; Monotremata; Tachyglossidae. The transcript is spliced from 3 exons. The record is from RefSeq and is a predicted model, not a curated record.